AGUGAACGCUGGCGGUAGGCCUAACACAUGCAAGUCGAACGGCAGCACAGUAAGAGCUUGCUCUUACGGGUGGCGAGUGGCGGACGGGUGAGGAAUACAUCGGAAUCUACUUUUUCGUGGGGGAUAACGUAGGGAAACUUACGCUAAUACCGCAUACGACCUACGGGUGAAAGCAGGGGAUCUUCGGACCUUGCGCGAUUGAAUGAGCCGAUGUCGGAUUAGCUAGUUGGCGGGGUAAAGGCCCACCAAGGCGACGAUCCGUAGCUGGUCUGAGAGGAUGAUCAGCCACACUGGAACUGAGACACGGUCCAGACUCCUACGGGAGGCAGCAGUGGGGAAUAUGGGACAAUGGGCGCAAGCCUGAUCCAGCCAUACCGCGUGGGUGAAGAAGGCCUUCGGGUUGUAAAGACCUUUUGUUGGGAAAGAAAAGCAGCAGGUUAAUACCCCGCUGUUCUGACGGUACCCAAAGAAUAAGCACCGGCUAACUUCGUG
RNAcentral lists this ribosomal RNA (492 nucleotides) under uncultured bacterium. RNAcentral describes it as "partial 16S ribosomal RNA". It matches the Rfam family "Bacterial small subunit ribosomal RNA", at positions 29 to 507 of the family's 1533-position model. The record is from RNAcentral.